UGGAAGUGGCACAGAGGGACGGAGGGUGAGGGGAUGCUGCUGCUGCCCACGGUGGCAGCGGGACAGGCAGCGAGGGGCUGCCCCUGUGCCCGGCGCGGCGCGGAGGGAUGCGGGGCAGCUGCAGGGCGGCCCCUCGGCGCAGGGCAGGGGGCGGCUCCGCCCCGCCCGCAGGUGCCGGGCAGUGUCCGCCGGGCCAUGGAGCAGGAAUACAGGCUCUCGAUUUGCGGCAAACUGUGCUACGCAAUAGGAGGUGCCCCAAAUCAAGUGGCCGGGAGCGCUGCUGCUUUCUUCCUGCAGAUCUACCUGCUGGACAUAGCCCACAUUACUCCGUUUCAUGCCUCUUUGGUGCUGUUCAUUGGCAAAGCCUCAGGUGCAGUAACUGAUCCUGUUGCUGGCUUUUUUAUUAGCAAAAGCAGAUGGACAAAAAUUGGCCGGCUCAUGCCUUGGAUGCUGGCAUGUACACCCUUCACAGUAGUGUCCUAUUUUUUUAUGUGGUACCUGCCUCCUUUUGCAUCCGGAAGAGUUGCAUGGUAUCUGACUUUCUACUGCCUUUUCCAAGCACUGACCACAUUAUUCCAAGUACCAUAUUCUGCCCUCACCAUGUUUCUCAGCACAGACCAGAAGGACAGAGAUUCUGCAACGGCAUACCGAAUGACUGUGGAAGUGCUUGGGACCUUGAUUGGAGCUGCACUUCAGGGACAGAUUGUGGCCAGUGCUCAUGUCUCUCAUCAUUGCACUGUGAAUCCCCCUGUAAACACAACUGACUCCUGGCAUGAUGCUCCCAGCUUUCCAGACCCCUCAGAUCACCUGUCUCAUCAAGCAGAAGUUUAUAUGAUUGCAGCAGGGGUCAUAGGAGGUGUGUACCUUCUUGGAAUUGUCAUUCUUUUUCUUGGAGUAAAGGAAAAAGACGAUCCUUAUGCCUUAAAUUCAGACAGAGCAAUUCCUUUUUGCAAGGGGCUUGGACUCACCAUGAAGCAUGGUCCGUAUGUGAAGCUUACGGCUUCAUUUCUUCUCAUCUCAACAGCAGUUCAGCUGGAGCAAAGCAACUUUGUCCUGUUCUGCACUCAUGCUGCUGGUCUGCGCAAUCACUUCCAGUAUUUGGUGGUGACCAUCUUGGUAUCAGCAGCUGUGAGCAUUCCCUUCUGGCAGAAGUUUCUGCAGCGAUUUGGCAAGAAGUGUGCAGCGUGUGGGAUUUCGUGGAUGAUUCCUUUUGCAGUCAUGCUAGUGACCAUUCCAAACCUGAUCCUGGCUUACUUCGUGGCCUUCGUCUCUGGGCUGAGCAUUGCAGCAUCUCUUCUGUUGCCAUGGUCAAUGCUGCCUGAUGUUGUUGAUAACUUUCGCCUGCAGAAUCCUCAUGGAAAAGGACAUGAAACCAUUUUCUAUUCUUCAUAUGUUUUCUUUACCAAGAUGUCAGCAGGAAUCGGCUUAGGAAUUUCUGCAGCAGGGCUGGAGUUCACUGGAUACAAGCCAGGGAUAUGCAAACAAUCCAGUGAUGUGAUCCUGACACUGAAAAUCCUUAUUGGAGCAGUCCCUGCUAUUCUCAUCCUUGUAGGUUUAUUUAUACUUCUUUUCUACCCAAUCACUGAGGAAAGUCGGAAAGAAACAAAACUUGCACUUGAAGAGUUAAGAAGGAGCCAUCAAAGCACUGAGAAUCUGGAUGACCACAAAAAGGACACUUCAGUCUGAAAGCACUGAAUACAAUGACUUUCUGAAAACAAUCUCACAUCCCCCACACAAACUCUGAGAGAGUCUUCUGGGCCAUUUCUCUGCUCAUAUUGCCUCAGAACGGAUAAAGGACGACUCUGACAUAGUCAUGGGUGAAAUGAAGAGAGGACAUCACUGUGAAAAAACAGAUAUAAAAUGCCAUGCACUGUGUUAAACUGGACAUUACAAACAUCAGGAACAUAAGCUGUUGAAGGCCUGGGUUUUUUUCAUUUGUUUUUCAGUGAUUAAUGGAAAGCUCUGAUCUCAUUGCAGAAGGAGAUAUGGAGAGAACGGGAGAUUCCUUUGAUUUGUAGGUCAAGGGAAAAAAUGUGAUGCACCACCCAAGUUUUAAUUCAUGUGAUGUAUUUCACCUUUAGAGGCUGGGCUGAACAUAAUCUCUGCCUAUAAACUGCACUGUAGUAUGUUUGGAAAGCACUUGGGAAUCCUAAACUAUGUAAAGUUAGGAUUUACUUUGUUUUGAAAUGAAGCAAAUCAACGAUGCAGACGCCUUGAGGAUUUUCUCAUGAAGAGUUAGUUUCUGAGAUUUUGAUGUAAUUUAACUUCAUAGAUUUUUAUAUGAAAUAGAACCUUAAGUUUCCCAUUGCUGGAGUUUGUUACUUCUGAAACCUGUAAGCUGAUCUUUGUCAGAGAAUAAGUACUUAGCACUUUCAAGAUCUACCUCUCCACUCAGGAUAUCCAAAAUCAGUGAGUCCCUUCCAAAAAUUAGACUAUACCUUUCAAAUUUCUCUACAAUUUGGCCUUUAAGUAGUCAGUACUUAGCCAUUUCUCCUGUGGUGCAGGUCUCUGCCUCACACAACACUGUGGCGUGGUUGUUAAUCUCAGCUUGUACCGUCUUUUAUAAUAAUGAGGCUACACCUGGCUUUUAAAUGGUGAUUUUUCUUUCAGUCAAGGAUGUCAUCAUCCUUUGGAUUCAUUAAUUCAAACCUCAUUUCUACUACAGAUUCACACUGCUAAGCGUAUUUUGUAGAUGAAAUACACACCUAACCUCAGGCACUUUCUGGAGCACUUAAGUUCAGAUCUGGUCGUUUUGGGCUUCCUCUUUAGCCAGUGGCAAUAGAGACCUCCGGAGGCUGGCUCCAAGUUUGAGCUGAGAUGGCUGGAACGAAGACAUCUAAGUCUCAAGCGGGGAGUGAUGGAUCCAAGAGUUGAAGUCUUGUUCACCUUGAAGAAAUUAGCACAAUGCAAGAUAAGACAUGAAUUUACAGCCCAGUGGCUUCACUGUAUCAAUGGGUGAGAAAGUGCCUUUAUUUCAUACCAGCGAUGCUUUUGGAGGACUGGUGUGCCGCUCUUUGCAGUAGGAGUCACUGUGACCACAAAUAAUUUGCUCAGGGCCUUCUGGGAAGUCACACACAGUGAUGAAACUGGAAACGGGGAAAGCUUUUACUGAAAGACACUGUAGAGUAACAUCAGUGCAUCUACCACGUCUCUCAGUAAGUUUAAUACUGAAACCUUUUCAGGCAAGUUUGAAGUCCAAGGGCUAAUGAACUAUCCUAAUUCAAGAAAAUACUUAAUCAUGAGUGAGCUUUUAAGGGUAUAUUUAGAGUGCAUGUGGAUAAGAGUUAACAAUGUUUAAGACUUCUGUUGAAUUGGCAUCCAAGGCUGGGGUUUUAUUUGUUUUGGUUCUUGGACAAAUCAAGAUUCGUAUGCCUGCGGCAUAUGUGUUUACAACAAUAAAAACCAUAAUCCUGUAUACAAUUUUCAGUCUGAUGGAAUUCGAAAUAGCAGAUUUACUGUGCUUUGAAAUAGGUAAGUUAUGUAAUGUUGCGAAUGGAUUUUUACAAGGCUUUGAUUUAGCAGCAGUUUAGGAUUUAUUAAUAGCUUGAGGAAGAUCACGAGAUAAAAAUAUGUGAUUUUAAUAGCACUUAAUCAUUAGCCAAUUCAACAAAGUGGUUCAACAGCGUUUGUUACACUCAAAACAGCAACUUGAUUCAAGAAUCAAGAAUGGUAAGGUUCACGCCAGACUUACUGCAAGGUUAAAUCAAAUCACACAGAGGAAUACACACAGAGAGAGAUACAGACAUGCAAACACACCGAGGUAAACCGAUGCCCAGAAUUUCCCUUCUCUUGAGUUCAGCGAAUUACUCGCUCCUAGUUCAUUGCUAUUCUCAGUGGGUGAUUGUUGAGUCUUAAGAAAGCUGAACUUGCCCUUAUCCUCAUCUGCAUUAGCGGACAACCCUGCGAGGUGUCCCCAGCUCAGGAGGAGAUGCUGAUCACGGCCCUCUGUGAUCCCUGAGAGCUCAAGGGUUCUCACUUAGCAUCGCUAUUUACAGGAUGAUGAGGCGAUUGACUCUGACCAGUGUUUUUCCACUCAGGCCACAAUUCAGAUGUCCAGUACCUUUCACGUUGUACCAAUCUGGUAUCGACCCACACAGGCUACAAUCCAGGCAGGCAGUGCUCCAGGUCUGUCCAGGUGACUGCUGGUCCUCGGUCACUACUUUUCAGCAGGAGUCCUGGGUGCAGUCAGGGUGUGCCUCAUCCCUCUAACUCAUUAUACUUAUUUGAAGGCAAGGACACGAUGAAAAUUCUCUCCCAUGGUGUUUCACUUACCAUGGAUCACCAAGUGACGCCAGCGGGGGAACUGCACCAACAUGUAAUAAUAACCACAUAGCUCCAAACCAUCAUAGAAAACAGCUUUAGGGGUUAAUUUAUUUGGUUAUAUUUAUGUAUUUCUGAAUAGUUGUCUCUAAAAACAACCAGAACUCCCAGUAGAGGCUGUUAAUGUUGUUUAAUGGGUUAUGUUUUCACCUGCUGUAAGUCUGUAGCUGCAAUGCAGUGGGUGCGUAUGGGUUUACACAAGGUGAACGCUUAGCCCGGUGACAAACAUUGCACAAACUGCUGGCUGUGGUUGAUCGGAGUGAUUUGAAUGUGGCUUAAGAUAUUAUUUCUAGACCAGUCGGGCAGUUGCCUCUAAAUUGCACAACACCCAAUCUGAAUUCAAUCUCUUGUAAAGUAAUCUUAGUUGAUUAUAAACUGUUUCCCUCCUUUCCAGAGAGACAACGUCAUAUUUAUCUAACAGGGAUGUACUCAAUCCUCACUUUGUCUAAAGGACCAAUAAUGGGAACUGCCAAAAUGAAACAGAAAGCUUCCAUGGAUGAAAUGUCACAGAGUAUUUUUAUAUUUUGCAAAUCCUGUUAUUUUAUGUGAUUAUCAGAACUGUACUUUUGUUGAGAAAAGUAAUGUAUUUUUCCAAGUUAAAAGAAUGAGUGCAGGGUAAGGGAUCUAUUUUUUAAUUUUCUUUUUUUUUAGAGCUCAGUGUAGGUGCUGUAAAACGGGUGAACUUUGCCUUUCUCCUUGUCAGUUUUAAAUUACAUGUAUGCUUUAUGUACGUUCAGAACUUGUGACUGAAAGAAGCAGAUUCUUAUAUUGACCACCAUUCAGAUUAAAUGCUAAUCUAACGUAAUCCUCCUGCCUCGCACUCAUUGGCAGCAACAAGGGUCAGGCUCAGUCCCCAGGGGCUCUCGUUCAGGUAAUACCCAAAUGCAUCGUAAGCAUACGGGAGAUUGGAUUAAAGCAGCUGGGGGCCUAAUGGACCAUACUUCCCACCUGCACACAAAAUGGAUUUACACAAAUAAAGGAGGAAAAGGGUAAGAGAGUUGCGUGUCACUGGGUAGACCCCCCAAGGCAAACCAUGCCCAUGCCUUGCUCUUGCUGAAGUAGAGUGAUGGCAGCCAAAUCUUCUCUACUGGUCUGAUUGCUGGCGUAGCCAGUAGCUGAGCUACUCACUGGUCUUCUCUUUCAGUUUCAUCCCCCUCGAAGUUUCAAUAUAACAUCAAGGCCUUCCAAGGAGAUCCCACAUCCCAUGUGCUGCUGCUGGCGGUCGGUCUCACCACAGGUCCUGACUAACCAUGGAGGUGAGAUGCUGUUCCCCAUCAGGCACCGGAGGAGGGGGCUGCCAUUAGCCACUGCCACUGGCCACGGUUCCUGCUAACUGUGUUCUCCUGCCUCCCCAUACCCCGUCUGACCCUGAGCUUGCUGACCUGCCUUGGCUUAGGUGGAUUAGCUCAUUUGUGCUGAGUCCCCCACUUUAGCAGGUGGAUACCACCUCGGACAUCUGUCCCUGGGGAGCCCCUGAAGGCUUGUGUCAGGUCACUGGGUUUUCAGGAAGGACUCUGUAGAUUUGAGUACUAAUUCCUUAAGUCACUCCUGCACCUUAUGAGAAUCUCCACUAGAUUCUAUUCCCUGCUGUAUCCUCUCAUCUCUACUCACUUCCUGCAUUACAUGUAAAGUAAUUGAAGUGGAAAAUGUUUUAAACUAAACCCUGCUUUUGGGGGUUCAUUGUUUCCAACUAUCACUUGUUCAUCUCCUUUUCUACUCGCCUUUCUGGGCUGUAGAUAGAAAACACAAAAUUAACUCGCUCUCCUUGAGAGCAGGAGUUUCCUUAAGGGAAACUCAGGUUCUUUUAGACAUGGUAUUUGUUGUUCAGCUCUUUGAAAAUGAGGAGGAGAAGGCAGGUUAGUUCAAGGUCUCAUGCAGUUGUGUGCAGUCAGUGGCAGUCUAAUGUACAGUGGUCCAUCACGUACCUCGUAUGAAUUUCAUAUCAUAGUUAUGUAUAAAACAGUCUCAAAACGUUACAACAGACUUUCCCUUCAGAAAACUUCCAGACUGGUUUAUGGAAAGGUCACUUGGAUUCAUACAACCAUCAGGUGAGGGAGGGAGUUUUGUUUUCCUGCAGUUUUUGAGAUCGCAAGUUUGUCGUGCUAUACUGAACAUUUUAUUUUCACCUUAACUCUCUGCCAGACCACGGUUCAGGCACCUAGCAAGAGCGCUGAGUAUUAUUGUUACAAAAAUGCAUAUGUGUUAUAGGCUUAAAGCAUGAAAUCCAAUAGCUUUCACAUCAUUAAGCACUCAAUCUGCUGCAUAAAACAGAUGCUAACUCACUGGGAAGCUUCGUUCAGAAGACAAAGCAGUAGUGCACAUAUCUGUCUCUGAGGCAGAGCAGAAGACUUUUUUGCUAUGUUGCACCUGAGAAUUUACAGUCUCUGAAGCUGCAGACUGACACGGCACAGAGCUGAACGGACGAUGAAGGGCGAAUGGUCCUAGAGCCGGGGCACUCUGCAGCCAAGAGGUUGUUUUCAAGCCACCGGCUUGUCAUCAUGAUGAUGGAAUCAGAUUUACACUGCCAGAGAAGUUUCUAUCCAAAAUGACUGCAGCUUGUGAGGAAGUAUUUCCAUUGUGUUUCCAAAACAAACUCACCCUUUGGUCACCUUCAAAAUCAUCGAGAAUAAUCUGCACAUUUGCCACAUCCAGCAGCUUCAGCAAUUCCGCCAGUGCCAGCCACGUCAGACUGUGAGCCUCGGUGCAGAUGUCCCUGCUGACAUCAGUGUGGGAUGAAUACAGAACUGCAGCCAAUUCCAGACUCUGGGAAAAGUGCAGCUACGCUGAUCCAGCCAGGCAGAGAGAAUGGGCAACUCCAGAAUUCCUGAAUUGACUUGUGGGGGCAAAAGAAUAGCCAUAAGAGAAGAAAGUUCCCUAAAAACACCCUGCAAUCCUCUCCUAAGGAUUCUUGAUUGACAACAUUGACUGGGUGGAAAGAUGUUGAAUGUGGAGACCCAAAUGCUGCAUGCAGAACAGAGGAGACGCAGAGAAUCUAUUAACACUUUCUGGUUAACCGAUAUUCACACACUCAGCUUGUCCUGCCCUGAUUCCCUGCCUGAUCCUGUGUUUAUACAGAAGUACAUCAAUGGGGAAAACAGCAACUUGACCCAAGAGAUCAUAGAAUUCCACCCUCUGCCAUGGGCAGGGACA
This is an RNA transcript of Cuculus canorus (common cuckoo), 7470 nucleotides long. It is a transcript of the gene named MFSD2 lysolipid transporter B, sphingolipid, with no coding region annotated. Lineage: Eukaryota; Metazoa; Chordata; Aves; Cuculiformes; Cuculidae. The transcript is spliced from 15 exons. The record is from RefSeq and is a predicted model, not a curated record.